This 253-nucleotide ribosomal RNA is filed under the name uncultured bacterium. RNAcentral describes it as "partial 16S ribosomal RNA". It matches the Rfam family "Bacterial small subunit ribosomal RNA", at positions 524 to 776 of the family's 1533-position model. The record is from RNAcentral.
UACAGAGGUCUCAAGCGUUGUUCGGAUUCAUUGGGCGUAAAGGGUGCGUAGGCGGCGCGGUAAGUCGGAUGUGAAAUCUCGGAGCUUAACUUCGAAACUGCAUUCGAUACUGCCGUGCUUGAGGACUGGAGAGGAGACUGGAAUUUACGGUGUAGCAGUGAAAUGCGUAGAUAUCGUAAGGAAGACCAGUGGCGAAGGCGAGUCUCUGGACAGUUACUGACGCUGAGGCGCGAAAGCGUGGGUAGCAAACAGG